GACGAACGCUGGCGGCGUGCUUAACACAUGCAAGUCGAACGUGAUUUUUAUGGAAAGCCCUUCGGGGACGGAAAUGAAAUGAAAGUGGCGAACGGGUGAGUAACACGUGAGCAACCUACCUUACACAGGGGGAUAGCCGUUGGAAACGACGAUUAAUACCGCAUGAGACCACAAAGCCACAUGGCUUAGGGGUAAAAGAUUUAUCGGUGUAAGAUGGGCUCGCGUCUGAUUAGCUAGUUGGAAGGGUAAAGGCCUACCAAGGCGACGAUCAGUAGCCGGUCUGAGAGGAUGAACGGCCACAUUGGAACUGAGACACGGUCCAAACUCCUACGGGAGGCAGCAGUGGGGAAUAUUGCACAAUGGGGGGAACCCUGAUGCAGCGACGCCGCGUGAGCGAAGAAGGUUUUCGAAUCGUAAAGCUCUGUCCUAUGAGAAGAUAAUGACGGAUCAUAGAG
This 455-nucleotide ribosomal RNA is filed under the name Parvimonas sp. oral taxon 110. RNAcentral's name for it is "bacterial SSU rRNA". It matches the Rfam family "Bacterial small subunit ribosomal RNA", at positions 28 to 465 of the family's 1533-position model. Lineage: Bacteria; Bacillati; Bacillota; Tissierellia; Tissierellales; Peptoniphilaceae. The record is from RNAcentral.